UACGUAGGGUGCAAGCGUUGUCCGGAAUUAUUGGGCGUAAAGAGCUCGUAGGCGGUUUGUCGCGUCGAAUGUGAAAACCCGGGGCUCAACCCCGGGCCUGCAUUCGAUACGGGCAGACUAGAGUUCGGUAGGGGAGUCUGGAAUUCCUGGUGUAGCGGUGAGAUGCGCAGAUAUCGAGAGGAACACCGGUGGCGAAGGCGGCGAUCUGGACGAUGACUGACGCUGAGACGCGAAAGCGUGGGGAGCAAACAGG
Molecule: ribosomal RNA, 253 nt
Filed under: uncultured bacterium
Lineage: Bacteria
Description: partial 16S ribosomal RNA
Rfam family: Bacterial small subunit ribosomal RNA
Source: RNAcentral